CAUGCAGUCGAGCGGACCUCUUCGGAGGUCAGCGGCGGACGGGUGAGCAACACGUGGGCAACCUGCCUGUAAGACUGGGAUAACUCCGGGAAACCGGAGCUAAUACCGGAUAACCUUUUGAACCGCAUGGUUCAAAACUGAAAGACGGUUAUGCUGUCACUUACAGAUGGGCCCGCGGCGCAUUAGCUAGUUGGUGAGGUAAUGGCUCACCAAGGCGACGAUGCGUAGCCGACCUGAGAGGGUGAUCGGCCACACUGGGACUGAGACACGGCCCAGACUCCUACGGGAGGCAGCAGUAGGGAAUCUUCCGCAAUGGACGAAAGUCUGACGGAGCAACGCCGCGUGAGUGAUGAAGGUUUUCGGAUCGUAAAGCUCUGUUGUCAGGGAAGAACAAGUGCGGGAGUCACUGCCCGCGCCUUGACGGUACCUGACCAGAAAGCCACGGCUAACUACGUGCCAGCAGCCGCGGUAAUACGUAGGUGGCAAGCGUUGUCCGGAAUUAUUGGGCGUAAAGCGCGCGCAGGCGGUCUUUUAAGUCUGAUGUGAAAGCCCCCGGCUCAACCGGGGAGGGUCAUUGGAAA
This 581-nucleotide ribosomal RNA is filed under the name Bacillus sp. CH54a_2C. Its description in RNAcentral is "bacterial SSU rRNA". It matches the Rfam family "Bacterial small subunit ribosomal RNA", at positions 54 to 632 of the family's 1533-position model. Lineage: Bacteria; Bacillati; Bacillota; Bacilli; Caryophanales; Bacillaceae. The record is from RNAcentral.